Molecule: long non-coding RNA, 89 nt
Organism: Sinocyclocheilus grahami
Lineage: Eukaryota; Metazoa; Chordata; Actinopteri; Cypriniformes; Cyprinidae
Exons: 3
Source: RefSeq, a predicted model, not a curated record
UUGACACAUUUAUGUCAAAUUUUUGUGACAAAGGCCAGAACUCUUGUUAUGAUGUAUAUGUUUUGAGGUGCACUCUUGUCAUAAAUUAA